ACACAUCCCAAGGAUUAGCCUAUGAAGAGACCAAACUGUUUUAGAUCCUAGGAUAGAACUUUCUUUAAAAUGCCUCCUGAGUGGUGCACUUGGAUUAUGGCAGACUAGAGGACUGGAUGCUACAGGGACGAUCUGAAGAUGUAGGUGACAAAGAACCAGAAAUAUGUGUGUAGGAAGAAGUGAAAAUCAAAUCCCGUGGCUGGCUGAGACUCUGCCAUAGCCAGCAAGAAGGUUGAGAUAAUUUCUUCUCCAACUCACCAAGUAUUCGAAGUCUGGCUGGUGUUUCUCUUUACGUGCUGGUCUUAAGUACAACGCAGAGGAUCACACUUAGCAGAUAAUUGUCAAGUUCGUGGGACAGUCUGUUCCUUGGAAAUGCUUUCUACUCUAAAGAUGCUGUACUCCAUCACUGGUGUGUGCAUGACUUCCUGGUCCUACUGAAGCCAGGAAAAUAUUGAAAUGCGGACAUAGGCAUUCGGAGAUGCACUUAUGAAGACCCGUGAGCUCCUAAUUAUGAAAAAGCUACAGUCAGUGUAACUGCUGCAUCUUCCUUUGAGUUGAACAUUUCUGCUGGUUUGUAACGUAACGCUUUCAUCUAAGUAUUCUGCAAUUUGGG
Molecule: non-coding RNA, 613 nt
Organism: Rattus norvegicus (Norway rat)
Lineage: Eukaryota; Metazoa; Chordata; Mammalia; Rodentia; Muridae
Source: RefSeq, a predicted model, not a curated record